Molecule: long non-coding RNA, 374 nt
Filed under: Olea europaea subsp. europaea
Lineage: Eukaryota; Viridiplantae; Streptophyta; Magnoliopsida; Lamiales; Oleaceae
Source: RNAcentral
GCUGUUCGUCCAUGGGAGAAACGGGUUGAACUGAGUCCAUCCAUGCCAAAGAAAAUCAACAGCAAGCAAAAGACAAGUAAAACUACAACUUGGCCAAAAUGAACAUCAUUGUUGUGAGAAUAUGGUUCUCUUAACUCCAUUUUGUUCAGAUUUAUUAUGGACCAUUGGAUGGGAUCGAUGGCCGGGAUUUAAUCUAUUUGAUAUAUUUGUGUUGCUUUGUCUUGGGGGAGAUGUUUUGACUUGAUGGUUGACACAAUAAGGCUCCCUACGUUUUUUGGCAGAAAGAUGGGUUUUUCUUCCCUUCUUAAGUCGACUCCCUCUCCCUUUCUUUUGGCUCUCGAUUUUUGGUUGAAGGUUGGUGGGUUCUUUGUCGG